UCGGAACCUCUCUUGCAAGAGAGCAAUGGAAGAAUGAACAGCUGGUUCACUCUGCCUUCCCAUCCGAAAUUAAACUAGAGCCUAUCAAUGGUACUGAGGAGAAUGCUCAUAAGGUGAUCUGAGGUUGCUUUAUUCUUAUAUAUAUAGGACAUUUAUAAGCUUUAAAAGCGUUAAUCUAUUCAAUGUAAGCCCCUUCAAUUGAUUUUAAUGAUGUAGAAGGAAGGAAAAAAAAAGCAGAAUCGGCCGCUGAGAUGUAAAGUCCAAGCAGGCAGAGUUAUGUUGCAAUAUGUUGAGGUAAAAAUAGAUGAUAGGAAGAAAAGGGUGUGACAAAAAAUCCAAACUGAGAUGGAAUGUAGCAUUUGGAUGUGAUUCUUUUUGCAGAAUUAAAGGAUGGUUGAUUCUCUGUCGGCUUGUUGCCAAGAGCUAUUGGCCUUUCAACAAAGAUGAGUGUCCCUUUUUUGGUGGGGGAUCUUCUUAUAUUAUUUUCACCUUUCAACCUUCUAUUCACUUUUGUUGAUCACAUUAGUUUUCGAGUUCGAAUUUUAGUAUCUAUAAUUUUUUUUUCGGAAAAAAAUGAUGACAAAGAGUUGAAGUAGAGAAUAUAUUUUGGACAUUGGAGUUGGAUGGUUUUCUCUAUGCAAGCCCUUUCAUUGAGAAAAAAGAAGCCUCUUUUUUCCUAUUUCUCUCUCUAUCUCUUUUUCAUGUAGUAUUUUGUCAUGAAGUUGUUGGAUAGAAAUGGGUUGGAAGGAGAAAUGUAUAGUUUUUGGAUUCUUUCAAUGGCCAUCGUUGUUGGAACACUCUUGUCUUUGAACUUAAUUGUUGGAAGAGUGGGCGCAAGCUAAAAAGCAGCCUACCCUCCCUAGAUAUCUCAUGGAAUUUAGCUAAGUAUAUUUUGCCUUUUAGCCUGCCCAAAAUCAUGAAAAAGUUGAAUUUGGGUGGUGCAACUUUUUUUUUCAACUUUCUCUUGUCUUGGACCUCAGAUAUCAAUGGUGAUAUUGCUGACGAAUUGUACUGUGUUCCAUAUUAGUGCAAUUAAUUU
This 1039-nucleotide long non-coding RNA is filed under the name Gossypium raimondii (Peruvian cotton). RNAcentral's name for it is "long non-coding RNA (GRAI_LNC010788)". The record is from RNAcentral. Lineage: Eukaryota; Viridiplantae; Streptophyta; Magnoliopsida; Malvales; Malvaceae.